AUAGAAAAAAGCCAGAUUAAUCCACCCGCUAGGUGAUGAUGGCCUUUCUCGUGCAUUAUAAAAUGUAUAUCAAAAAUAUCCCAUUAGGCUUUCUGGGAAGCGUGUACACACACGCACAUUUUACUCACACUUUUACUCAAUUUGUUUGCAACCACGAGCAGUUGUCACGGAAAAAUCAAAUGGGAUUGUUUGCCACCAUGAACCGUGCGUUCGUGUUGAUAAGAAAUGUCGGCGAGACCCCAAUUGAAAUGGUCAGGAAAGCGAUAUUUCAAUAUUUCCAAAUAUCAAACAGAACCAAAUUGCACAACUUUUUGGAUUUUUUUGUUUCCAAUUUUUAAAAAUAGUGAAGAGUUGAAAAAAUAUAAAUUUUUGGUGGGAAAAUUACCUUCAGACAGAUGGAAGUUUCAAUUAAGCUAAAGGUAGUAAGCUAAAGGUACUAAUAUAGGAAAGUGUCUAAAAAGUUAAUAAGUGAGAGAUUUUUUUUAACUUUUAAUUCAAUUCCUAUAACUGCUUGUUAUGUAUCCACCAAAUCGCAUGAUAGUUUAAAAAUCUGCAUGCCAAAUCUUGAAUGAUUCCAUUACAAAACGAAUAAACAGGAUGUUUUUUUCGGUAAAAACUAGGCGGUAUCGAUAUUUGUAGUCUCCUUAAAAAUAAAUUUUAAUUACGCCUUUAUGAUACUCAGUGCCAGAUACGCUUCGAAUCGAAGCGAAGCGUUCAUUAAAAGCAGUGCUUUUUGAACAUUAAAAAUGAACAGUAGUAGGCUACGAAAUUUUGACUUGACCGAACAAACCAAAAUUUUCAAUCAUUCUCAUUUGAACCUUCUUGGAGCACAGUACAUUAAAAACCAAACCAAACCAAAUUCCAAAUUCAAAGCUAGCGAACUUAAAAAUUUUAACCACCUUUUCCAAAAAUGAAGCCAGAGCAACGACCACCCCAUGAUGGCCAACGUAAUGACCAGGAUCAGCCACUAGACGCUAUGGGCCGUCGCCGUCGUCGUGGAGGUCGAAGCCGUUCUCGCUCGCGGAGCCGUGCCCGUUCCUCCCCCAGGCGCCGUUCUACGUCCCGUCGACGCCGUAGCAGCAGUCGCCGUCGCCAUUAAAAUUGCAUUGGGUGCAAAAUAGUCGUUGAAUAAUAAACGAGUCCCAAAUUUGAAAA
Long non-coding RNA from Armigeres subalbatus, 1155 nucleotides. RefSeq lists it as uncharacterized. The transcript is spliced from 2 exons. The record is from RefSeq and is a predicted model, not a curated record. Lineage: Eukaryota; Metazoa; Arthropoda; Insecta; Diptera; Culicidae.